Apis florea (little honeybee) is the source of this 3950-nucleotide long non-coding RNA. Lineage: Eukaryota; Metazoa; Arthropoda; Insecta; Hymenoptera; Apidae. The record is from RefSeq and is a predicted model, not a curated record.
AAUAUAUUAUUAUCAAUUGUAAUUUUUAUUUUAUUUUUUUUUUUUUUCUUAUCCUUAUUGUCAUCGUUGUUGAUCAUUUUUGUUAACUUUUUGUUUUGUUAUAUUUACUGCGGUAUUACAUAAAAAUGAAAUUUUUCGAAAAUAAUUGCCUUGUAAUUAUUGCAUAGUAGUUUCAAUAAUCUUGAAUUUAUAAAUCAAACACAAGUUAAUAAUCCCAAUCAGAAGGAAUGUUUUCGUAUUUUAUUUUUUCAAAUUUUCAAUACAUCGGAGAAAAAUUAUAUUUAUUAACUUUUUGUGCAAUUCUAUCACGGAUUGAUGAAAAAAGAAAACGAAAUUGUUAAACUUUGUAAUAUCCGUAGGUAUACGAUUGCGUAAUGAUAUGCUUCUUCACGGAUGGAAACGUUGCGAUUAAGACUAAUACAUUAGAAUUGUAAGUACGUAAGCGACAGAAACAGACAAUUUUGCGAGAUUAAAAUAAUCCCGAAGUUUUUUGAAAAUAGUUCCCACUUUUACGUAAUACAAAGAAAGAUUUACAGAUGCCAUGGCCUUAAAAAACGUACAUCUAAAAAAGUUCUUAUAAUAUACAUACAUACAGCGCUAUUCGACAGAUAUAUCUUAACUGAUAUUAUGUAAUCGGUAUCAAUAUCUUGUCGACAGAAAGUUGACAAGAGAUGAAUUUUUCAUGCAGCUCAAAUGUCAUUCAAGGAAUUUUAGUAAAACGCAGUUUUAUUAACAGAUGUAUAUCAUUUUAUUGCUUUAAACCUCCAUCAUAUUCAAUGUAUCUUUUUUUUUUUCACUUCUCUAUGCCAUAUGUUAUCAAUAAUUUUAUUUCAAUUAAAUUUUAUGCUCCAUUAAAAAAUAUAUAUAUAUAUACAUAUAUUUUGAAUUUUGUAAAAAUACGAAGUACGAAAUUCAAUAAAUGUAUAUGCUAAUCUAAACAACACUAUUAAUAUUGUUACUACUAUUUGAUACAUUGAAAUCGAUGAAGGUUUAAAAAACGAUAAACAAGAAAUUAAGUUGCGAUUUCAUGGGUGAAACGCAUAAACGCAGCCUUACAUUGUAUUUUCAUAUAGUACAACACGCCAAUACGUGGAAAUAAUAAUCGAUAAGUUGAUCGUUUUUGUAUUCUCGGGUCUACUUGUUAUCGAUUGCGAUCGAGAUGGAUCGCCGUGUUUUCGAUACAUAGGACGUUCAGUGCUUCCGAACCGAACGAACUGUAUAUUCUUUGAUUCGAUGAUCACGUUCGCUGUUUAUCGAUAUUAGAGUGUCCAAGAGAGCAUCUUACGAUUUGCGCGAUAUAUAUUGAAAGGAUAAGGUUGAGACGACCGGAAAUAACAUGAGAGGCAAAGAAAAAUGAGAAAAAAAAAAGAAGCUGUAUUACGUGCAAGCGAGAAAGAGUAGUUAUCAGGAUAGAUAGUCAGAGUUUUGUAAGUGAAAAAGAGCAAAACAUCUAUUUUUCACGAGACGGCGAUCGUGAAAAUAUGUACAAUAAGUUCAAUUGUAAAUACGUCACGCGUAAAUAUCUUACUUAAGUAUAUAUAAUAUCGUUCAAAGAAACGGUAAAUCAUAAUAAUAAUUAUAAUAAUAUCAAUAUACUAGCCGUAAGGCCAAAAACUUUGCUCCUUAAAGAUACUUUUCUAAGUAGACAAAACAGAAAAAAAAAGCGCGCGUUUAAACGAGUCAUUGUUUUUUAGCUAAGUAAACUCGAUUUCCACGCUUUAACGUUAUAUAAAAAAAAAUACCGCAAAAAAAAAAAAACGAAAAAUGAUAGAUACUGGUAUUCAUAAUACCAGAAGGAUAAAAUAUUAAACAAGCAAGAUGACGAGACUUUUUUGUAUGAACUAAUUUUUUUCAUAUAAUUCGCGUUUAUUAGAUAUAAGAUGAUUGAUAUAAAUCGUUGAAUAUAAUACGUCGUCGCAAUACAUGAGAUGAUCAAACGAUAUAAAAGGAAAAGGAAAUAACUGAAGUCGAUAUAUUUAGAAAUGAGUAUAUGGAAAAUAUUAAUCGAAAUUAAAUUAAAACAACUCGAAUCCACGCAUCGAGAAUGAAAGAAGCAAUACAAUAUGUAUUGUAUUAAAUACGUGUGGAUUUACUUUAAUUAUUUUCCGUUUCACACGCUAAAAGAUGAAAAAGAAAUGAAAAAAAAAGAAACAAAGAACCGGUAAAUAACGUACUAAUAUAUUUAAAAAAUUUAUGUAUAUUUAAUGAACUUAUAGGAAUGAAGAAAGGGAGAUGUCUGCAUAGGAAUUGAAAAAAUAAAUUUUAUCUUUGGUGCAUAAAGGAAGUAUAAUUAAUAAUUAUUAAUGAUUAUUAUUUAAUCAUUAAAACAAAAAGAAACAGGAAAAAAAACAAUGGCCUAUAUUUAGAAAAGAAUCGUUCUUUUUUAAUUUUUUUUAUUUUUCUUAGGCGAAACCGACGGACUGUAUAGCGUAUAGACGUAAUAAAUUUAGCGAUCAAAAAGAGGACUCGAAUUCUAGAGAUGAGGAGAGAAGAAGACAACGCACUUAUGAUCAUUUUCUUUUUAAAUGUAAAACUCGCACUUGCACUCUACUUAUCUUUUUCUGCGUUCUAUGAUGUUCGCGCGGCGACAAUUGUAUUAUUCAAAUGUAUAAUAGACCACUUAGCCCAUAAACCGAUAUAAAAGAUAUUAAUUCGAUAAUUGGACUCGAUCAACGUUCUUGUCCAAGGUGAUGCAGCCAAGAUUAUUUUUAUUCCCUUGAAAAAACGCCGACCUAAACAUUGCAAUAGUAUAUUGAUCUCGAAAAAUUUCACGAUCAAUAGAAAUUUUUGUUAUUAUCAAUUUCUUUAAUAUUUAUUUAAAAAAGAAGACAAAAAUUUCUCAAUAGUUUUGUUUAAAACAUCUGUUGAACAAAAAUUCUGCUAGUUCGAAUAGUACAACGCAAUGCAGAAAUCAAAAAAAAUAAAUUGACUGUAUCGUCUUGCGCAUGCCUGUGUAUUAUAGUGAAACGCACGAAUUACCAUGUGUCAUAUAAAUAUAUACAUAUAAAUAUAAAAUAUAUAUAUAUAUAUAUAUAAUAACAAAAAAUAUAUAUAUAAAUAACUAACAAUAAUGAUAAUAAUUAAGUACCUUACAUAUAAGCAGUAUCCAAGAAAUCCGAACUAGUUGCACCAAGUGCCAUAGUCCAUAGGUCACAGUACGUUUAACAUAGCGAGGGUGAGACUAUUCGUAGCAGUUGCUAGGAAUGAAAGAAAAGAAAAAGUAUAAAAAAAAAUGGGGAAAAACCGAAAAAAACAUCCACAUAGAAUGAAUAAAAAAGGAAAGAAGAAAACGAAAAAAGAAAAAGCAGGUCGAACACGUGGCGUUCGACUACUAGCUAUGUCGUGUUCUUAUUGCUUAUUGUUAAGGCAAACGAGCGCGAAGCAGCAGCAAGCAAUCAGCUAAAAACACGCAAGGAAGAAAAAAAAAGUAAAGGGAGAAAGAGAAGGAAAGUUAUGUAGUCCGUGUGACCCGAGAUUUCCAAUGGGCCGGUUUCGCCCAUCUUUUGGAGAACGUUUUAGAGCAUAAAGCAGACACCAAUAUGACAAUAUACUAAUGAAAUUAAUUUCCGGCUCGGUUACUAUUACCCAUUGCCUCCACAUCCCCUUUAAAAGAACUUGGAAAAACGAAAAAAAAAAAAACAAAACACCGGACAUCCAUUAUUGUACAAUUUCGCCAUUUAUUUUUCGACACGUUAGUACAUGCGAUUAGACGUGGAUCCCGGCUCGCGUAAUCCAUGCGUUCCCCGACAAAAGAGAUAAAGAAUGCGAGAGAGAGAGAGAAAGAUCGAACGAGCGCGAGAGAGGGAGAGAAAGGAAAAGAAGAAACACAACUGUAAAACACAUUAUGGCCGUGAAUGAAUCGAAGCGAGAUGCGUGUGACCGUUCUUUUUUUUUCUUUUUGCGAGAACAUUAUCAAUUAUCUUAAAGGAAGAAAAAAAUGACAAAAAAAA